UAGGUGAACCUGCGGAAGGAUCAUUAU
RNAcentral lists this ribosomal RNA (27 nucleotides) under Steinernema arenarium. RNAcentral's name for it is "partial 18S ribosomal RNA". Lineage: Eukaryota; Metazoa; Nematoda; Chromadorea; Rhabditida; Steinernematidae. The record is from RNAcentral.